GCUGAGGUCUAUCCCGAUGGAAUCUCUCUGUAUACCCACAUCUUUGGAAACGCCUCACAGAGGAAUGCUGUAGUUCAGUUUUACUCACAGAACUAUUUGUUAGAUCUGUGAAAAGGAACCACAAGACAGAU
This 131-nucleotide small nucleolar RNA is filed under the name Dasypus novemcinctus (nine-banded armadillo). The record is from RNAcentral. Lineage: Eukaryota; Metazoa; Chordata; Mammalia; Cingulata; Dasypodidae.